This 253-nucleotide ribosomal RNA is filed under the name uncultured bacterium. Its description in RNAcentral is "partial 16S ribosomal RNA". It matches the Rfam family "Bacterial small subunit ribosomal RNA", at positions 524 to 776 of the family's 1533-position model. The record is from RNAcentral.
UACAGAGGGUGCAAGCGUUAAUCGGAAUUACUGGGCGUAAAGCGUGCGUAGACGGUUUCGUAAGUCGGGUGUGAAAUCCCCGGGCUCAACCUGGGAAUUGCAUUCGAGGCUGCGAGGCUAGGGUACGGAAGAGGGAAGCGGAAUUUCUGGUGUAGCGGUGAAAUGCGUAGAUAUCAGAAGGAACAUCAGUGGCGAAAGCGGCUUCCUGGUCCAGUACCGACGUUCAGGCACGAAAGCGUGGGGAGCAAACAGG